This 2424-nucleotide long non-coding RNA is filed under the name Equus asinus (donkey). RNAcentral's name for it is "lncRNA (ENSEASG00005035526.1)". Lineage: Eukaryota; Metazoa; Chordata; Mammalia; Perissodactyla; Equidae. The record is from RNAcentral.
CCAGCGUCCACAGCCUGAGAAGCAGGGCGCUUUUACUGGGCUUUACAUCCAAAUUAUUGCUGAACAGGGAAAUAGAGAUCCCUGAGAGUGUUGUCAUCGGAAACAAAGGGGGGCUUCUUCUAUAGCUAUGACGGUGCACUGAAAUUCUAGCCAACUGAGAUGAGACAGAAGAAUAGUCUGGGUAGCGGAUAGGGGUAACCAUUCACUUAUUUCGGUAAAGAAUGAAGUGCUGAAAAUCCUAUUAGUACUAAGUUUAGUUGGAGAACUUAAAUCAGCCUCUUUUUGAUAAUUCUAAAAUUAAAAUCCUACUGUCCUCACUCACGAAAGCAAACAAUAAGGAUGUCCAUUCUAACCCUGAUCCCAGCACUGGAAGAGAAAUACUUUAUAAAGAAGCAAGCAAUUAUGAGGUUGUCUUUAUGUCAGUAGGGAAAAAAUAAAUGGUAAUAAAAGUACCAGUGUAGCAAAGGAAAGCCGUUUAUAGCAUUGUGCGCUUAAGUAGCAAAAUCAGGUCCUCGGCAACGAGAACCCAGCCUCAGUCAGUUUCUGGAUCCAUGUGCCGACAGCCAGGCUGCUCCUUCCUCAGCACAUCGCAGCCUCCUUUCCUAAGUGCCAGGGAGGCCUGGAGGGAGGGCUGGGGGCCGGGCUCCCUCCACGGGGGUGACACUGUGCCCCGUCUGCCCAGCUCCAGUGCACACCCGCUGCCACCCGCUCCGCUUCCCGUGGUUGCCGAGCCAGCCAGCAGGACUCCCCUCACCCGGGUUUAGUCCCAAGUACAUUGUUCUUUUAGGUUUCAUGUUGAAAAGCCAAGUGGUCUAAGUGAUUUUUUCUGUCCUAGAUACAAGCUUCAAUAAAGGAAAGCAAAGAUGAUGAAACAGCAGGACCAGUCUAAAAAUCACUGUAGAGUUGCCGCUUUAUGUUUACUGUCAGUCCGGUGUUAAGUGAAUCUUUCAGGCUACACUGAAAAAAGUAUGCACUUAAAACUUAGUCUAGGGAAAGUGAGUGUCGGGCUGUGGAUAAAUUGAUUGGCGUGCGUGGGAACCCUGAGCCACGUGGAUGGAAGCGAAUGACUCCUGCCUGAUCCCGCGGCUCUUUGCCCCAUUUGGAAGGAAUCAAAGGAUGUGGGUAAAAUUUGCAAAGAGAUUUUUCCCUCGUCAUAGGCAGACAGCGUUGGCUAUGUUUUUCAGCUCAGGAAACUGGAAUGUCCUGCCCCUCCUCCGCUCCAUCAGACGCACGUACACUGAACACAGCAGUAAGAUCUCCCCGUCCUAGAAACCUGGGUCUGACCACAAAGCAAGGCAGCAGACUCGCUCUUGAUUCUCACCAGUGGACCACUCAGCUCCUUUGCUGACUUUAAGUCAAAAUAGCAAGACAGAAUUAGCUGCUAAAACUGUUCUGCUCUACAUUAGCGUGUAGGAAAAUGAAAAAGCUCUCACCUCCAUCCCCUUCGAAAAACUUCAUGGUCCACACUGAUCCUUGCUGGGCCUGAGCAGGAGACGCGUGCCGCCCACACUCCUUGUCCUGCUCGCGUCUGUCCCGGCGACCCUCCGCAGGGGAGCCUUGUAGCAAGUCCCCACUAUGGGGCCUGUCCCACCGCUUCCCGCCACAAGGAGAACUGUCACUUUGCUAGUUUCAGUUCAGGUUGGAAAAAAUACCACACGAGAAUCUGGUUUGCUUUUAGUAAGUAGGCAGAAAGUGAAAAUUGUAUAAUUUUCAUCACGUUUUAUUGUUUUAUCUAAAAUGAUUGUACAUGUGGUUUGUGAACUGGGCCCUUAUUUGUGCCAGAUCCUUCAACGACGUUCCAUGUAAGGACACACGCGGUCACUUCUCCCGUCCUCAGACGCCGUCCCACUUGGCACUCACGCCCCUUGUAUGCAGUGUUAGCCAUCUUUGGCCUAUGUGGACUUUUUUUGUAAAUUACACAGUUUCCAGAUGGCAUUAAACUUUUUAUAUUACGAAAUUUACCAUGUAAAAAGAACUUCCUAUUUUUAUUGAGACUGCUAAGGCACUUGGCCUUCCUUUGUGAUUUCAGUGUCUAUUAAAGCAUGAGCUCCCUCGGUUUUAAGAGCUGUAUCUGACUCACUUUCUAUGCACAUCCCACACGUUUUCUGGGUUACUUUGCGGUACACAGUGCGGUCGUGUGUCGUUAAUCCAUGUGUCUCCAUCUGGAGUUUCUCUUCUAGACGCACUGUAGCCCCACGUUAGCCAUGAGAGCCUGAGAAAGUGCGUGGCUGCCCCGAGGCUCCGGUACCUGUGGGUGGUGGUAACUGAGACGCUGAAUGCUUCUGAUCUUGUGUGAUCAUAGCUGGAGGGCCAGAGAACCCUACGGUUGUAGAGACAGAUAAAAACAAUUCAUUACCACCAGACCCCUGUAUCUAAAGAAACUUUCCGAGAAAUAUUUGAGAAAGAAGGAAAACAGUCCUAAAG